AGAGUUUGAUCCUGGCUCAGGACGAACGCUGGCGGCAGGCUUAACACAUGCAAGUCGAACGCCCUCUUCGGAGGGAGUGGCAGACGGGUGAGUAACGCGUGGGAACGUGCCCUUCGGUACGGAACAACAGUUAGAAAUGACUGCUAAUACCGUAUACGACCUUUGGGUGAAAGAUUUAUCGCCGAAGGAUCGGCCCGCGUUAGAUUAGCUUGAUGGUGGGGUAAAGGCCUACCAUGGCGACGAUCUAUAGCUGUUCUGAGAGGAAGAUCAGCCACACUGGGACUGAGACACGGCCCAGACUCCUACGGGAGGCAGCAGUGGGGAAUAUUGGACAAUGGGCGCAAGCCUGAUCCAGCCAUGCCGCGUGGAUGAAGAAGGCCCUAGGGUUGUAAAGUCCUUUCAAUGGUGAAGAUAAUGACGGUAGCCAUACAAGAAGCCCCGGCUAAUUUCGUGCCAGCAGCCGCGGUAAU
This 470-nucleotide ribosomal RNA is filed under the name uncultured bacterium. RNAcentral describes it as "bacterial SSU rRNA". It matches the Rfam family "Bacterial small subunit ribosomal RNA", at positions 8 to 524 of the family's 1533-position model. The record is from RNAcentral.